GAUGAACGCUGGCGGCGUGCCUAAUACAUGCAAGUCGAGCGAACAGACGAGGAGCUUGCUCCUCUGACGUUAGCGGCGGACGGGUGAGUAACACGUGGAUAACCUACCUAUAAGACUGGGAUAACUUCGGGAAACCGGAGCUAAUACCGGAUAAUAUAUUGAACCGCAUGGUUCAAUAGUGAAAGACGGUUUUGCUGUCACUUAUAGAUGGAUCCGCGCCGCAUUAGCUAGUUGGUAAGGUAACGGCUUACCAAGGCGACGAUGCGUACCCGACCUGAGAGGGUGAUCGGCCACACUGGAACUGAGACACGGUCCAGACUCCUACGGGAGGCAGCAGUAGGGAAUCUUCCGCAAUGGGCGAAAGCCUGACGGAGCAACGCCGCGUGAGUGAAGAAGGUCUUCGGAUCGUAAAACUCUGUUAUUAGGGAAGAACAAAUGUGUAAGUAACUAUGCACGUCUUGACGGUACCUAAUCAGAAAGCCACGGCUAACUACGUG
This 497-nucleotide ribosomal RNA is filed under the name uncultured bacterium. RNAcentral's name for it is "partial 16S ribosomal RNA". It matches the Rfam family "Bacterial small subunit ribosomal RNA", at positions 28 to 507 of the family's 1533-position model. The record is from RNAcentral.